CAAAAUGUAGCUUAAUUUAAAGCUUUCCGCUUACACCGCAAGACUGUCUGUGUGACUCAGACCAUUUUGAGCCUAAAAUCUA
Molecule: transfer RNA, 82 nt
Filed under: Feihyla senapatiensis
Lineage: Eukaryota; Metazoa; Chordata; Amphibia; Anura; Rhacophoridae
Description: tRNA-Val
Source: RNAcentral